CUUGUGUUUUGAAAGGGGCUAAGAGCUUAAGGAAUAUUAAUGAUGGAAGUAUCGAGGAGCAUAGAGGUAAUAAUGAUGAAAAGG
Juglans regia (Persian walnut) is the source of this 84-nucleotide long non-coding RNA. RefSeq lists it as uncharacterized. Lineage: Eukaryota; Viridiplantae; Streptophyta; Magnoliopsida; Fagales; Juglandaceae. The transcript is spliced from 3 exons. The record is from RefSeq and is a predicted model, not a curated record.